Molecule: long non-coding RNA, 1235 nt
Filed under: Cucumis sativus (cucumber)
Lineage: Eukaryota; Viridiplantae; Streptophyta; Magnoliopsida; Cucurbitales; Cucurbitaceae
Description: long non-coding RNA (CSAT_LNC001736)
Source: RNAcentral
UGGAACUCCAAUUGAACAGCCUUGAAAAAGUGAUGGAGAAACAAACAGAACAUAAAGAUUGUGGGACUCCUCAACUCCAAUAAAUCCUGCAAUGGAAAAAUGGGUUAGAAGGUGGAAAAGCAUAGUAGAGGAUUAUGAUAAUGAAAAUGGGUAGUAAUGUUUUUCAGUAGCUAUCUUUUUCUUCUCUUUUUUUUUUCAUGUUGUUGAUGGUUGUUCUUGAUUGUCUUUAUUUAUUUAUUUUUUUCCUUUUUUGCAUUUGGGAAAAAACAGUUUGUUGACUAAGAGGUGAUGAUGCUGGUGAGGGAAUUUAUUAAAGUAAUGAAUACUUUUUGGAGGACUUAAACAAGUAAAAGGACGAAAUGAAGCAAGCUCAAGCAACAAAUUUUCUGUUAAGUAAGCAUAAAUAUUAACUAGAGGCUUAAAUAAAAUAUUUCACCACCACCACCACAACAACAAAAAGCCCAGAUAUAUCGUCAUUGACAACAGAAACAGAGCAAUAUAAGCAAAAUACAUUACAAGGAAAAUAUGGAGAUAAAAGACAUGAAGGUUUCCCUUUCACUUACAAAGAGGAUCAUUAAGUAACUUCUCGUUGUUAGAACCAAUAUCUAGCAUUACUCGAAGAAUCUGUCAAUUAAACAAGAGUAAACUUAAUGAAAAAGUGUGGUUAAGAAAAGUUGCUAAAAAAUGUCACCAUUAAAUGAUAUUAGUAUUCUUAGAUAAUCUACAAAUUUCAUGAAGAAAAGACUGCAGACUUGAGAGUUACCCCCACUAUCAGGAAUACUUGCUGAAACGGGAAAAAGAUAUCGGCAAAUUCUAAAUACGGCACACUAAAACUCUCACUCUCCUGGUUCUUGCUUAAAAUCACAUGUACAUGUCAAUGCUGAUAGUGCCUCUUCCACUGAAACAAACAAAAUUUCAGUACCAAUUAAGAUGCAAAAAAAUAAGGUAUUUAAGAUGCAGAAAAUAAGGUAGUUAAGAUGCAGAAAAUAAGGAAACACCCCACAUCACUAUAGUGCAUAACAAAUCUAUCACAUAAGCACAAAGAUAAAUACUGAGAGUAUUAGUUAAAACUUAGCAAACACAAAAAGGACAUAAGCUUAUUCUCAAAUUUCAGUACAUAUACUCAUCAAAAUUCAGAAUCUCACGUCACAAACCCGAGCUUAGUGCUCAAGGGUUGACAGUCAUGCCUUUUAUGCAAGAUCUAAGAAGCUAUGAUGCUCAUUAUUGUAAUGAAA